UUAAAAUAUAAUAAUAAAAUGCUUGAGUAGUAAUAGUUAUAUUCUUGAAACUUAAAGAAUUUGGCGGUGUUUUAGUCUAUUCAGAGGAAUCUGUUGUGUAAUCGAUAAUCCACGAUGGACCUAACUUAAUUUUGUUUAAUUUGUAUAUCGCCGUCAUCAGAAUGUCUUAGAAGAGAGAUAAUUUUCUUAAAUUAUUAAUAUAAAUAAUGUCAGGUCAAGGUGCAGUUUAUGGUUAAGUAUUAAUGGAUUACAAUAAAAAUAUUUAUAUGGAUAAUUAUUUGAAAUAAAUGGUUUAAAGGUGGAUUUGAUAGUAAUAAUUUAAAGAUUAAAAUUUUGAUUAUAGCUCUAAAACAUGC
This 356-nucleotide ribosomal RNA is filed under the name Dixa submaculata. RNAcentral describes it as "partial 12S ribosomal RNA". The record is from RNAcentral. Lineage: Eukaryota; Metazoa; Arthropoda; Insecta; Diptera; Dixidae.